CAAAUGGGGGUGUCAUUUAUCUAUGCCAACCCGACUGCCCUCUGCCCUCCCUCCAGUGCUCUUUGCCCUCACCCAGUAACCUAAUUUGCAUUUGAAAAAGAGCAGCGGUUGCAAUAGCACCUUGAGUUCCAGCCUUCAGCCAGCCUGGAGAGUGCAUCAGGAAUUUGGGUGGUCAUCUGCUGGGAAUCAGCAGUAUGCAGAAGACAGCAGGAGGUAAUUCUGCACCCACUUUACAUAUGAAGAAGCUGAAGUCUUGCAAAGUGGCCCAAGGUCUCCCAGGGAUGACCUGCUGGAAGCAAGCUAUGAAUCUAAGUCUCACCCCAAAGCUGCCUGUGUUCUCUUGUGAAAAGAACCACAAGCCAAAAGUUGGAUCAAUACCCAAGGACAGACACCUCUCUAAGAGCUGUGAUUGAGCUUGCAUACCUCACCCAACAGCGCCUCAGAUGAAGAAGAUCCUGCGGCAUCCCUGGUAUCCAUGGCCUUUCAUUGCUCCUGGAAUUCUUGCUCCUUUUUGAGUGAGUGUGCUUUGUUCGUUUCAUAAUUGGACUCUUAAUUCAGCAAUAGCUCUGGCCAGUUGCUAUUAAUGAUCACUUUGCUCUCCUCUUCCCAUAGCAAUUAUUAAUUAAACUGCUCAGAGAGUCAUAAUGAGAAAUUAAAGACUGUAAUAAUAUUUUAGGAAGCAGUAUCCCAUGAUCUUGGAGGCCUAUAUUCUGUUCCAAAGGCAGAGCAGAGUUUGUUUAAUUCACAAACAUUUACUGAGUCCCCUUUAGGUAGAAGGCCCCAUUCAGUUUCCAGGCAUACACCAAGGAUGGCAUCUGCUCUAGGGAGGAGCUGAAGGUCAUGGUGUGGAGUGUUUUUUGAUCCAAGUCUUAACUCUUAUUGAUUCUCCUUUCUCAACUUGUACCCUUCCAUCGAGAAUCAGUUCCAACUUUCCCUUCUACUUUCAUUACCUACCGUUCCCUCCCACAACCUUAAGAAGCCCUCAGGUUAAUUGCUCCUUUUCUGAGUUCCUGUGAUAACUUUGUAUAAAUCUCUAUUAUAGAACUAAUAUUUUUAUCAUCAUUAAAAAAAUAAAAAACAAC
RNAcentral lists this long non-coding RNA (1082 nucleotides) under Callithrix jacchus (white-tufted-ear marmoset). RNAcentral describes it as "lncRNA (ENSCJAG00000068025.2)". The record is from RNAcentral. Lineage: Eukaryota; Metazoa; Chordata; Mammalia; Primates; Cebidae.